Molecule: ribosomal RNA, 426 nt
Filed under: Stenotrophomonas sp. SAM-B
Lineage: Bacteria; Pseudomonadati; Pseudomonadota; Gammaproteobacteria; Lysobacterales; Lysobacteraceae
Description: bacterial SSU rRNA
Rfam family: Bacterial small subunit ribosomal RNA
Source: RNAcentral
AGCAGCUAGGAAUCUUGGGAAUGGGCGAAAGCCUGACCCAGCAACGCCGCGUGGGGGAUGAAGGCCUUCGGGUCGUAAAGCCCUUUUGCCAGGGACGAUAAUGACGGUACCUGGCGAAUAAGCCACGGCUAACUACGUGCCAGCAGCCGCGGUAAUACGUAGGUGGCGAGCGUUGUCCGGAUUUACUGGGCGUAAAGGGCGUGCAGGCGGCUACGUAAGUCCGGCGUGAAAUCCCAUGGCUUAACUGUGGAACUGCGUCGGAUACUGCGUUGGCUUGAGGAUGGUAGAGGCCAUUAGAACUAGCGGUGUAGCGGUGAAAUGCGCAGAUAUCGCUAGGAAUGCCGGUGGCGAAGGCGGCGACCUGGGUAGAUACUGACGCUGAGGUGCGAAAGCGUGGGGAGCAAACAGGAUUAGAUACCCCGGUAG